Molecule: unclassified non-coding RNA, 333 nt
Filed under: uncultured fungus
Lineage: Eukaryota; Fungi
Description: partial contains small subunit ribosomal RNA, internal transcribed spacer 1, and 5.8S ribosomal RNA
Rfam family: Eukaryotic small subunit ribosomal RNA (bases 1-73)
Source: RNAcentral
GCAAACUUGGUCAUUUAGAGGAAGUAAAAGUCGUAACAAGGUUUCCGUAGGUGAACCUGCGGAAGGAUCAUUAAAGUGUCUUCGGGUAGGUCCGGCCCCCAACUCGGGGGUAGGACCGCCCGGAACGCCCACCCUUGUAUAACUAAACCAGUGUUGCCUUGGCGGGCCCGCCGGACUUGUUCCGGCCGCCGGGGGGUUGAUCCCCGGGCCCGAGCCCGCCAACGGACUUCAAUUGAACUUCUGAACUGUACGUGUCUGUCUGAGUGGUUAAGAAAUAUAAGCAAAACUUUCAACAACGGAUCUCUUGGUUCCGGCAUCGAUGAAGAACGCAGC